This 455-nucleotide ribosomal RNA is filed under the name uncultured Leptolinea sp. RNAcentral describes it as "bacterial SSU rRNA". It matches the Rfam family "Bacterial small subunit ribosomal RNA", at positions 917 to 1381 of the family's 1533-position model. The record is from RNAcentral. Lineage: Bacteria; Bacillati; Chloroflexota; Anaerolineae; Anaerolineales; Anaerolineaceae.
UGACGGGCCCGCACAAGCAGCGAGCGUGUGGUUAAUUCGAUGCUACACGAAGUAACCUUACCAGGGUUUGACAUGCAAGUGGUAGGAAACCGAAAGGCGACCGACCCUUCGGGGAGCUUGCACAGGUGCUGCAUGGCUGUCGUCAGCUCGUGUCGUGAGAUGUUCGGUUAAGUCCGCUAACGAGCGCAACCCUCGCUGUGUGUUACAAGUGUCACACGGUACUGCCGGUCUUAAGCCGGAGGAAGGUGGGGAUGACGUCAAGUCAGCAUGGCCUUUAUGUCCUGGGCUACACACACGCUACAAUGGCCAACACAAUAGGUUGCUAAGCCGCGAGGUGGAGCCAAUCCUCAAAGUUGGUCUCAGUUCAGAUUGCAGGCUGCAACCCGCCUGCAUGAAGAUGGAGUUGCUAGUAACCGCAGGUCAGCUAUACUGCGGUGAAUACGUUCCCGGGGCUU